RNAcentral lists this long non-coding RNA (486 nucleotides) under Mytilus galloprovincialis (Mediterranean mussel). The record is from RNAcentral. Lineage: Eukaryota; Metazoa; Mollusca; Bivalvia; Mytilida; Mytilidae.
GCCCUAGAUAAAUAGAAUUUAAUUGCAUUGUAUGAUUUAGAAAAUUCAUAACUUAACUGGAUUUUGCCGUACACUUUCUUUCGUCCCUGCAGAAGAUGAUAAAAUCAACAAACAGUUGAGUUUACCUUGAUAUGGUCCACUCAGGUACACAGUUUAAAUAAUCAAUUAUUGUCAGGUAUGUAUUGUCCAUCUCAUGUCCAUGUCAAGCAAUACAGCUCACUUCAAUUAUUACCUGUGGGGAAGUUCUCAAACCUGUUUCCCAACUUAGUUUAUUUUGGCACCUUCUGGAGGAAUGAAAAAAAGUGCACGGCAAAAUCCUGGUAAGUUUUUAUUUUUCUAAAACAUAAAACAUAUUUGAAAUUUAUUUAUCUAGGGCAUGCCAUGCCUGAAAUUUUUUACAGAUGCGCAGGUUUGUCUGUACUCAGAGUAAAUUUUGAGGUGAAAAUACGGCCAUUUUAGCCAUAGGGUCCACAUGAACCUUAACUG